This is a long non-coding RNA of Beta vulgaris subsp. vulgaris (sugar beet), 533 nucleotides long. RefSeq lists it as uncharacterized. NCBI's taxonomy places the organism in Eukaryota, Viridiplantae, Streptophyta, Magnoliopsida, Caryophyllales, Amaranthaceae. The record is from RefSeq and is a predicted model, not a curated record. The transcript has 3 exons.
CUUGCUGCCCAGAACACACCAUUCUUACCUCUCUCACUCGCCAGCUCCUGCGAGAUUGUAGAGCUUGGUUCUUCCUUCGUUUUCUUCAAUUUUUCUCUAUAAAAAACUUGCAUGCAAAGCUUGAUUCAUAUUCUAAACACAUAGGUGCAUACUGGGAAGGUAAAAGUUCGAGCUUUAAGAGUCGGGAAGUUCAAGAAGCAAGGCCAUCUUCUUCAAUCAAGGAAACAGAUCAAAAAGAAUCAAGAAUCCAGUCUUGAGGAGCAGUAGAAGUCGAGUUACACCAUUUACAAAUUAAGACUCUUGUGCAGGGAAAAGCAAGCUAAGGUAGUCCGAGGGAUGAGCUGUAGUGAAGUCAUGUCUCAACUGUCAUAGUGGAUGCAAGCUUGAACAUGAUCAUAUUUUGCAACUUACUUCUGCUCAUGAACACUGUUUAACUUUAUUUUAUAACUUUCUUUUGGGUCUGUAAUAACUAACUUAAUUUCAUAUGUGAUGAAUGUUUAUUUUAAGAUUAGCUCGUAGAGUCAAUUCAACCA